AACCCAUGGUGAGGGAAUUUUUUAACAGGUUCUUGUAUCUCUCCCAUGCAUUAUUCAGGGUUUCUAGAUCUAUCUGCACAAAAGAAGAGAUAUCAUUCCUUAGUUU
This 106-nucleotide small nucleolar RNA is filed under the name Gossypium hirsutum (cotton). RNAcentral's name for it is "Plant small nucleolar RNA R71". It matches the Rfam family "Plant small nucleolar RNA R71". From Rfam's summary of the family: R71 is a member of the C/D box family of snoRNAs containing the C (UGAUGA) and D (CUGA) box motifs. Multiple nearly identical copies of this snoRNA have been identified in Arabidopsis, and it is thought to function as a 2'-O-ribose methylation guide for 18S ribosomal RNA. The record is from Rfam by way of RNAcentral. RNAcentral also lists the same sequence under 1 other name. Lineage: Eukaryota; Viridiplantae; Streptophyta; Magnoliopsida; Malvales; Malvaceae.